ACGGUUACCUUGUUACGACUUCACCCCAGUCAUCUGCCCUGCCUUAGACGGCUCCUUCCACAUAAGUGGUUAGGCCACCGGCUUCGGGCAUUGCAGACUUCCAUGGUGUGACGGGCGGUGUGUACAAGGCCCGGGAACGUAUUCACCGCGGCGUGCUGAUCCGCGAUUACUAGCGAUUCCAGCUUCGUGCAGUCGAGUUGCAGACUGCAGUCCGAACUGAGAACAGCUUUAAGAGAUCCGCUUGCCUUCGCAGGCUCGCUUCUCGUUGUACUGCCCAUUGUAGCACGUGUGUAGCCCAGGUCAUAAGGGGCAUGAUGACUUGACGUCAUCCCCACCUUCCUCCGGUUUGUCACCGGCAGUCUCAUUACAGUGCCCAACUUAAUGCUGGCAACUAAUAACAAGGGUUGCGCUCGUUGCGGGACUUAACCCAACAUCUCACGACACGAGCUGACGACAGCCAUGCACCACCUGUCUUAGUGUCCCCGAAAGGAACUCCUAAUCACUCACGAUGGCA
This 514-nucleotide ribosomal RNA is filed under the name uncultured bacterium. Its description in RNAcentral is "partial 16S ribosomal RNA". The record is from RNAcentral.